This 497-nucleotide ribosomal RNA is filed under the name uncultured bacterium. RNAcentral describes it as "partial 16S ribosomal RNA". It matches the Rfam family "Bacterial small subunit ribosomal RNA", at positions 28 to 507 of the family's 1533-position model. The record is from RNAcentral.
GAUGAACGCUGGCGGCGUGCCUAAUACAUGCAAGUCGAGCGAACAGAUGAGGAGCUUGCUCCUCUGACGUUAGCGGCGGACGGGUGAGUAACACGUGGAUAACCUACCUAUAAGACUGGGAUAACUUCGGGAAACCGGAGCUAAUACCGGAUAAUAUAUUGAACCGCAUGGUUCAAUAGUGAAAGACGGUUUUGCUGUCACUUAUAGAUUGAUCCGCGCCGCAUUAGCUAGUUGGUAAGGUAACGGCUUACCAAGGCAACGAUGCGUAGCCGACCUGAGAGGGUGAUCGGCAACACUGGAAAUGAGACACGGUCCAGACUCCUACGGGAGGCAGCAGUAGGGAAUAUUCCGAAAUGGGCGAAAGCAUGACGGAGCAACGCCGCGUGAGUGAUGAAGGUCUUCGGAUCGUAAAACUCUGUUAUUAGGGAAGAACAAAUGUGUAAGUAACUAUGCACGUCUUGACGGUACCUAAUCAGAAAGCCACGGCUAACUACGUG